RNAcentral lists this ribosomal RNA (254 nucleotides) under uncultured bacterium. Its description in RNAcentral is "partial 16S ribosomal RNA". It matches the Rfam family "Bacterial small subunit ribosomal RNA", at positions 524 to 776 of the family's 1533-position model. The record is from RNAcentral.
UACGUAGGGUGCGAGCGUUAUCCGGAGUCAUUGGGCGUAAAGAGCUCGUAGGCGGUUCAGCAAGUCGGCUGUGAAAGUCCGAGGCUCAACCUCGGAAUUGCAGUCGAUACUGCUGUGACUCGAGUCCGGUAGAGGAGAAAGGAAUUCCCGGUGUAGCGGUGAGAUGCGCAGAUAUCGGGAAGAACACCAGUAGCGAAGGCGGGGCUCUGGGCCGGCACUGACGGUGAGGAUCGAAAGCGUGGGGAGCGUACAGG